AACGAACGCUGGCGGCAUGCCUAACACAUGCAAGUCGAACGAGACCAUCGGGUCUAUUGUCGCACGGUGGCGUAACGCGUGGGAACCUUCCCUUAUGUUCGGCCUAACUCCCCGACUGGGGUGCUAAUACCGGAUAAUGUCUUCUGACCAAAGAUUUAUCGCCUUGGGAUGGGCCCGCGUUGGAUUAGCUCUUUGGGAGGGUAAAAGCCUACCAAGGCGACGAUCCAUAGCUGGUCUGGGAGCAUGAUCAGCCACACUGGGACUGAGACCCGGCCCAGACCCUUCCGGGAGGCCGCAGUGGGGACUAUUCGACAAUGGGCGAGAGACGGAUCCAGCAAGGCCGUGAGAGUGAUGAAGGCCUUAGGGUUGUAAGGCUCUUUUACCCGGGAUGAUAAUGCCAGAACCGGGCGAAUAAGCUCCGCCAACUUCCGU
This 432-nucleotide ribosomal RNA is filed under the name uncultured bacterium. RNAcentral's name for it is "partial 16S ribosomal RNA". It matches the Rfam family "Bacterial small subunit ribosomal RNA", at positions 29 to 506 of the family's 1533-position model. The record is from RNAcentral.